Molecule: ribosomal RNA, 515 nt
Filed under: uncultured bacterium
Lineage: Bacteria
Description: bacterial SSU rRNA
Rfam family: Bacterial small subunit ribosomal RNA
Source: RNAcentral
GGCUCAGAACGAACGCUGGCGGCGUGUCUUAAGCAUGCAAGUCGAACGAGAACCAUGGUGCUUCAGCUUGCUGAAGCGCCGGGGGACAGUGGCGAACGGGUGAGUAACACGUAGGUGAUCUGCCCCGAAGUGAGGGAUAGCCUAUGGAAACAUAGGGUAAUACCUCAUGUGAUCCGAGGAUUGGAUGCCUCGGAUGAAAGGCGCAAUUGUGUCGCUUUGGGAUGAGCCUGCGGUCCAUUAGUUAGUUGGUGAGGUAAUAGCUCACCAAGGCGAUGAUGGAUAGCCGGCCUGAGAGGGUGAACGGUCACACUGGGACUGAGACACGGCCCAGACUCCUACGGGAGGCAGCAGCUAAGAAUAGUCCGCAAUGGGGGAAACCCUGACGGUGCGACGCCGCGUGGGUGAUGAAGGCCUGACGGUUGUAAAGCCCUUUUCUCAGCGAAGAAUAAGGUGAGGAGUGGAACGCCUCAUCGAUGACGUUAGUUGAGGAAGAAGCCCCGGCCAAUUACGUGCCA